This 267-nucleotide unclassified non-coding RNA is filed under the name uncultured Lysobacteraceae bacterium. Its description in RNAcentral is "uncultured Xanthomonadaceae bacterium contains 16S-23S intergenic spacer region". The record is from RNAcentral. Lineage: Bacteria; Pseudomonadati; Pseudomonadota; Gammaproteobacteria; Lysobacterales; Lysobacteraceae.
UCCUCCUUACAGAGGCAGUUUGUUUCGAGUUCCCGAAGGCACCAAUCCAUCUCUGGAAAGUUCUCGACAUGUCAAGGCCAGGUAAGGUUCUUCGCGUUGCAUCGAAUUAAACCACAUACUCCACCGCUUGUGCGGGCCCCCGUCAAUUCCUUUGAGUUUCAGUCUUGCGACCGUACUCCCCAGGCGGCGAACUUAACGCGUUAGCUUCGAUACUGCGUGCCAAAUUGCACCCAACAUCCAGUUCGCAUCGUUUAGGGCGUGGACUAC